GUGCUCACUUUGACAGCACAUAUACUAAAAUUGGAAUAAUACAGAGAAGGUUAGCAUGGCCC
Molecule: small nuclear RNA, 62 nt
Filed under: Heterocephalus glaber (naked mole-rat)
Lineage: Eukaryota; Metazoa; Chordata; Mammalia; Rodentia; Bathyergidae
Source: RNAcentral